CAGCAGCCGCGGUAAUACGUAGGGUGCAAGCGUUAAUCUGAAUUACUGGGCGUAAAGCGUGCGCAGGCGGUUAUAUAAGACAGAUGUGAAAUCCCCGGGCUCAACCUGGGAACUGCAUUUGUGACUGUAUAGCUAGAGUACGGCAGAGGGGGAUGGAAUUCCGCGUGUAGCAGUGAAAUGCGUAGAUAUGCGGAGGAACACCGAUGGCGAAGGCAAUCCCCUGGGCCUGUACUGACGCUCAUGCACGAAAGCGUGGGGAGCAAACAGGAUUAGAUACCCGUGUAGUCCCUGUCUCUUAUAC
This 301-nucleotide ribosomal RNA is filed under the name uncultured bacterium. Its description in RNAcentral is "partial 16S ribosomal RNA". It matches the Rfam family "Bacterial small subunit ribosomal RNA", at positions 509 to 807 of the family's 1533-position model. The record is from RNAcentral.